GUUUUUUUCCCCUCAGUGAUAGGUCAGAUUUAAUUUUGGUUUUAACCAAAGCAAAUGCUUUCCUGGAGACCUUCUAUUUUAGUGAAAAUAAGUAAUGAAAAAAUAACCGAAACAAGUCACAGUAUCAAAAGGAAAGACCUUAGAAAGCUUAGUGGUGACCCUUUCUUUUUCUGUUUCCUUUCCCAUCCUCCUGUUGCCAGUGAAGAAAGAGAAAUGAAAAUUCGGGUUUGCUUUUCAAUUAAGUAACAAGAAUGACUCAAAGUUUAUGAAACAUGGAGGGUUUACAUUGAAAAUGCUUGCUGCUUUUCAACUUUGUGUCUUGCCUAGGUUCACCCUACUCAUCAUAUUGCCAACCUCCUGUUUUCCUUUCCCUUCUCCUCCCACCAGCUCUGCAGUUUACCACUCUAGGGUGAGAAGAGCUGUUCCCAGCAUGCUAAUUUUGCCACUGAGCAGGCUCAUCUGUAUCUUGUAAAAGGGAGAUUACCACAAAUGUGCACCCUCACCACACUCUGCUUCUGCGGUAGGAGAGGACUUCUGGCACUGGGGCUCCCAGUGCUGUCCCUGCUGUGCCAGGACCGCAAUGACGGGUCUUCAGAAGAAUAAGGGGAAAAAAGCCCCAGCUGCAACUUCAAGGAAUGGCUCAAUGUGCUAUUCAUGGCUUGAAAGAACAGCACUGCUAUCCAUAGUGGCAGUUUGUGAGUGUGAACCUUCUUAGAUGGUUCUCAUGCUCAGAUUUCUGUGCUGCAGCUCGUUAGCAGGAGAGCUGCCUGCGGGGCUGCAGCAGGUUUGCAGUACGACAGGAUAUGCACUAAAAUAAAAAUCUGGUUAGGGGUGGUGUGAUUCCAGUGCUGGCUGGGCACUGGCAAUUAAGCCUGCAUGAAAAUAAGACACCUGGACUUUGUAACUCUUGGGAUGUGACAUACCACUUGCUGAGGGCCAUCACUGCCCAGGAAAGCACUAAAACAGGUGUAUAAAUCCUACUGUGUUCAGUGGGAUUUAGGCACCUGCUUAAAUUUAAGUGCUUGUUUAGAGAGUUUCCUGAAUGAAAGCCUGACAAUUGCGCCCAAGAGUAACUUUUAAAUUAGUUUUAAUUUGCUCAUCAUAACCAGCUGUCAUGAGUCUAUGUAAAAAGGGUUUGAUUUUGGAAAGAUGAAAGACUUCCCAGGUCCUUGGCUUUCAUGUAAGCACCCUUCCCGGAUGGCCAGCACCCUGCUCAGAUGAAGCAGCCCUGCUUUUAUUCAUCCUUGCUCUGUGGUCCCGCUGGGGCUGCGGUGUUAGCUGAGCACUCUGCAAAGCAAACUGCCCUGCCAGCAACUGACAUCACCUGACUGUGCCUCUCCAGCCAUGUCCCAUCUGAGGCAAUCUGCAGGAUGAAACAGAGGAAGAGAGAGUCCACUCUGUAUUUAGGAGGUUCCAAGUCAGCCGUGUCAAGAUUUGAACAAGAAUCAAGGAGGAUAAUAGGUCAGAUGUAAUUAAGAGGUCUCCAAGGAGCUCUGGGACAGCGUGAGAGGACAGGGCACUGCCAGCUGCUGUGUGAGAGCUGGAGCCUGCCACAGCGUGAGAGGGGCCAGCAGUGAGAAACGGGCUGCCUGCACAAGUCUGAAGGUUUAGCUCUGCCAGAGGUUAGAAAAGAGGUUGUUUGUCUGAAGAGACACGGGUGUGGUGAAAAUACUCAGUGCCGGCCAAGUGAACCAAAACACUAUCUGAAUUACAAAGCAGGCUGGAAAAUAAAAUGUAACUGUCGGAAGAUCUGGACCUGACCUGUGCUGAGAGACAGAUAAAAAAGAAGUCACAGGAGCUGGCCAUGUACAUCUGGAGCAGACAGGACACAACUCUCAGACUGAAUUAGGCCCGUUUGGAUAGGUUUUUUAAAAUCUCCAUGAGUAACAAACAGAGAAGACUUUUUCCCUCACACUGGCCUGGACUGAACACUUGGUAGGCAGUAACAUGCGAACUCUGACCACAUCACUGGUGUGAAAUUGCUGAUUAACCUUUUGACUCUGACAAUUGGGACUUCUCUCAACACCAACUGUUUCUUCAAAGUUCUUUUUAGAGCACUAUGCAAAGAAAGAGAAAGAAAUUCUCCACUCUGUGUGAACACAUCUGCUAUUAAUGCUGAGGGGAGUUAAGUGUCCGCUUCUACAGGAGAAUUCACCCCAGUGUUCUAUACUGAAAGGACACUUCAAAAGAGCAGUGCCCACAUAAGAAACAGCAAACUGCUCUUCAGAGGCAAUAUCCUGAUAUGACAACAGAUGUAGAUAAUGUACUUCAUGAUGGAACUGCUUGAUACAGAGAGAAACAUGUUGUAACUGCCUUCACCAUGAAAGGGGUUUAAAAAUGCUGCCUGCCAACUCCACAAAAACCAGAGCUGCUAUUUCGGUUAAAGGCCAGUGGAUUGUAUUUUUCACGUCAGUUUUCACUAACCUCAAACAUCACUGUUAUGACAGACUGUCAUCCAACCAAACCAGCACUCUGGUGCCAUUCAAGCAAGCAGGAAGAAAGCAAACACAAGGAAACUUAAAAGUCCAAUUAAGGUUGGAACCUAAUUUAUCCAGAAGCUGGGGAGGACCUGAACUGGCUCUAGCAGUUCUGAAAGACCGAAAAAGCAACAGAACUUUCCUCUUAACAAAACUGGUACAUUCAAGGAGAAGCUGCAGGAAUCAGUCUAAGUUACCACUGAUGAUGAAAUGUCAAACCAUUCUGGCAGGCACUUGUUCAGUCUUAAGGAGCUUUAAAUUACUUCACAGCUUGAGAUUCCAGACAAUCAGGCUACCAGGACCCAUGAUGCUGAUAUGAAAGAGGACUGACUUCAAGGAUGUUGAGAAAGAAGAUAGAAAUUUCCAUCUUCAUUGUUCAGGUUCCUUCAGCUACACAACUAGGAGUGCUAUUUUUUUUUUUUGGAACAUUGGAAACAAAACAAGCAAAAGAAGGGGAGGGGAAAAAAAGGAAAAAGAAAACUCCCUUCAGACAACAAUCACCUUUUGAGUUAAAUUCUUAUGCUUGGUCUUAGCCCAGAGGGAUUUGUCUUGAGUGAAGUUCGAAGAAAAUCCUUUCAGCAGUUUCUGAGUUACUUAAAUGUAACCAUGGAGGUUUGGAUUCAGAUGCUUUUUUUGCUUGUAUAACUCAAAAAUAGCUUCGCUUUAAAACUUCUAAAUUAACCCUCCUUAACUUUUCAACUUGUCACCUAUCCUACUGUAUGGCUUAUAAAAUUUUAAAGCUAAUAGUAUAACAAACUCAAAUAAUGAUACUGCAGAUGUUCAAAUGAAUCUUGGGAGGAAUAAAUUAUAGGAGUCACAGUGGGUUGUUAGUGAAGAAAGAGCGGCUGCAUGCCUUAAACCAUGUGUUCUUACUGGUUUGAAACGGGCCCAAUUUUUUCUACUAAGCACCAGUGUGCUUGGGUGUGGAUUUUAAUACUCAGUUACACAUACAAAAUUAAGCACAUAAGUCCUGUUCCUUUUCUUCUCCCUGAUAGCACUGCUUUAGACAAGUCAGAACAUUCUCUUAAAUUUUCCUGCUUUCUUCUUAACACAAUCCUGAUCACUAGGACACUUAACUGUCUCCUAAAUAUUUAUGGGCUUCAAAGACACUGAAAUGCUCUGUGAUUCUCUUACUGUUAUUAUUUUAUUGCCAGAAGAUUGAGGCAAUGAGAGGUGAAGCAUCUUGGUAAGUUAUGGUUUUUCCUUUUUCUUUGUCCAACCCUCCUGUUGCUUUCUGACAUUUCUUCCUCUUUGUCUUCUUUCCAACAUUUCUGUCUCACUUACUAGUCCUGUUCUCACUGUCUCCUAUUUAUCUUUCAAACAUCUUUCUCCAGUUAUUCCUCUCUAACAAUUGCACUGAAGAGAGCCUGCGAUAGAGAGAAAUUAUUUUUACUUUGGCAGCAGCUUUUUACUUUUAUCUUUUCCCUAAAUGUCUGGGAUGGGUCCAGGCAGCUCUCCCCACUUUCAUCAUCUCUCUUCACAUCCCUCGUGACCCUGAACUCUAGUCAGCAAUCUGAUGUCUGCCAUGAGAGUGCCUCCCAUGAUCCAAAGCCACAAUCAGACUAAGGUGUUGUAACACCAUGUGUUGCUUUACCUACUUACCACGCUUGCUCUGCCGCUUUCUAGGAAUUGGACACCUGUGCCAGGUUUUUCUCACGAAAUAAUGACAGUGCUGUCACCUUCUGCACGUCUCUCCUCCUUGCUCCUCUGCCCCUCUUCCUCUCCCAAGCUUUUGCGGUUCAAUCUCCUGGCUGGUGCAAUUUAGCCAAGAUACAGGAGACUUGUAUUCAGCCUCUGCCCGAGGCAAUUUGAACUUGAAUCUCUUGCACCCUGAAUUAGCACCUUACCCAAGACAUUAUCUACUCUUCUGUAAGGAAGGUGACCUGAGUCCUUUCUUCAAGUGGAAAAGCUUGAGCUUGACUUGACAGCCUCAUAGUGGAGGCACUCACCUCACCUGGAACAGGGAAACCACGACUGCCAGGGCCUGCCCCAGUCAAUACUUAAUACAAAGUAUGGAAGUGUUCUCUGAAAGAGGGUAACAAACCCCGGGCUUCUUGCUUUCAGCAGUGCUCUGAGAGCAAGCACACAGGGCAAUCCUGUUAGUAUUUAAUUAUUCCAUACAAACUGGAACAACUUCAACAGGAUGGACUGGAGAGAGACCCUGCUUGACAAGAUCCUUUUAGAACUGUGCUAGUCUCUCUUUACUGCUGUGGGUCAGCUCGCUCAAUACCCCAGAGCAGCAAUGGCAGCUGCCUCAGCACCACUGACUUGAUAUGGGACUAGGUAGUGAGGACAUGUGUGGAGACUGGGUGGGAGGGAAGGGAUGGAAAAGGUGUUCCUGAAGUAUAUUCUGUUAUCCAUGGCAAUGGGCUUGUAGUCAUAGCUGAAACAAGCACCUGCCACUGCUGCCUCAGUUAUCAUUCUGGAAAGCAGUGGCAGAAAAUAUGUGGUGGAGGGAAAAGAAGUCUUAAAAGACAGGGCAGCAGGCUGGGGCACUAUAACGGAAAUUGCUUUUCAAGGUGGAAAUGCAACAAAAAUAGACUAAGAAAUCUUAAAAGACAAAGUCAAUGCCAAAGCAGAGGAAGCCAGAAUGACUUCCAGAGCUCAGCUAUAGGCAGUUGUCCCCCAACAUAAGCCAGACACUGUCAGUGUGUGGGAGACAUCCAGGAAUUUUUUCUCCUACAAAAAUGUUAGGGACAUUAUAUGUUUUACUGUAAUGGAAAACUCGAGCUCUAGUGCUCAGUUCCAAAGGAGAACACUAACCAUUGGAAGCAAUGUGGUACAGGGGGCUGUGUGUGUAUGUGUCUGCUCAUCUUUCUCCUAGGGAUUCUAUAGCUUCCUUCAUUCUUCCCUACUCUCAUAUUACAGAAAGAAGGUAAUUUUUCCUGGCCAUUUACUAAAGCUCAUUAAAGACUGAAGAGAACAAACAAUGCUAUUCCUUAGAGACUACCAUUCAAAGUCAUCCUACAAUUCUCUGUUCUAAUACUUGAGACAAAUUAAUUAUUCCUUAGUGAAAAGUGUAUAAUUCCUAUUCUUCAUUUUUGGGGUGGGGAGUGGGGAAUAAUAAUAGGAAGUUUAUAUCUGAGUCAAAAGCUUUCUGUGCUGAAGGGAAAUGAGAAAAAAUGUGUGUUCCGAGAAGAGUAAAAGCAAUUAUUCUAAUAAUAAUUCUAGGGAUAUUAAUGUCUUUUUAAAGUAGAUUGCUUUCAAAUAAACACCAAAGUUGAAGGCAUAGGAAAGGCUGGUUUAUUUAUUAAUCAUUCGAAAAGUGCAUUUUUCUAAAUGAACAAGUGUAUGAGCAACUUCGCUGGCACAUAUUAAAUUUAGUUAAACGGCAACUUGUAAAUGUCUAAAAACUUCUGUAACCAGAGACUAAUUUGUUUAAUGUGUUGAAAAUGUUAUGUGGAUGUGAGGAGCUACAUAUUAAACUUCAAAGCAAAAGGCUCCAGAGAUUACACCAUCUUAAAGACUGCAUAUUGGAAAGGCCUUUAUACAUUAAACAGAAAGGAUUUUUAAUUCUCUUCUAUUUUGAAUACUUGUCAAUCUGUGUGACUCAUGCUUAAGAUUGUAAACUGUCAUUUAAGGUGUGAUGUCCAAGUUGAGGCCUGGACCACGAUUUGCAAGGGGCUGGCUUUUCUCUUUCAUCUCUAUUAAUUAAUCCUGUCUCAGUUUGCCCAGCGUACACUUCUGUUGACAUCACCUUUUCCAUAUACUUUAAAGAGUCCCCAGAGAGAUCUACUGCAGAACAAAAACUGGACAGAGAAUACAUUUGGAAACCAUUUUAUUUCUCAAUUACCAACCAAAACGUAUGGAAAAGAUUUACACUCUAUCUGAUUUACACAAUAAUUAUACUUUGAAAGCUUAGAAAUAAAUGGCUUGAUCCCUGAAAUCAUUAGUUACUAUACCAAAUGUAAUUGGUGUAAACUAAUGAGUUUACUGGAUGGCUGACCCUUAAUUACUGAUUAUAGUUAAACUCUAGCCAAUCAAAAAUUCGUUUACUUAUAAAAGUACAGUAUAGUAUUAACAAGCAUUACAUUUCCAAGCAAGCAGCUUUAUGAUUAGCUGUAGCACACAACUCAAGCCUGUUCAGGGCUAUCAAAAGCAGCUUUUUAAUAAUAGUGCACUAAGCAACCAUCACUCUCUUACCUCAGCGUCUAUCAGACAAACAGAAGAAAAACCACAUAAUUAAUCAUCUCAUGCAAUAGAAAUAAGGCAUCUGGGCCAGAUCCAGGCGGGGUAUACACAGCUGCCUUAGUCAAGAGAGCUGCAAGAGGCUGGGGAUUUGGUUUAAGAUAGGAUAACUGCCAUGGGGAAUUCUGGCCCUCUGGAGGGGGCAAUCUGUGGUAUGGAAGUGAAAUAUUGAUUAUGUGCAGUCCUGUGUGAUGUGGAGAAACCUACUGAAAAAAUAGGUUUAAUAAUUCCUUGAACUGAGGAGGAUUCCUUGGGCAGGUUCAAUAUGUGGUGAUAGGACGUUUGGUUACUGUACUGGCAAUCCCAAAAAUUCGAAAGUCAUGAUUCCUCACUAUUUAUUAGAUCAAAUGAAGAAUCAUUUUUUAAAUAAAAUACUAAAUGGGAACAAAUUAUCUUUAUUUGUCUCUGGUUGAUCUUUAAGAAUGAAUGUUUUUACCUAACCAGGAAGACUCAAAAUUUCUAUUAAAAAGGUUUAAAGCAGAUUUGUAUUUAGACCAUUUCCAGAAUUGGGACUUUAAACAGAUACACCAAAUAUUUUGAUAAAAUCACAGGACUUUACAAUAUUUACAGUCAUAUCCUUAAAGAUACUUUGGUAAGAGACUCCAGUGUUUUAAAGAUGCAAAAAUUCUCCGUCUCCUAGAUUGUUCCUGUGAAUCCUAAACUUCAGAUAGGAGAUUGAUACCAGAAGGCACAACCAUUAGAAGAUGAGGUCUGAGGUCUGAUACACAGCUGCUGCUGUGGAGAUUUAGUUGGAAGAAUAUGUAUUUGCUGGAGAGUGCUCUUCAGAUGACCCAACAGACCUCACGGCUGCCAGGAUUCAUUCUGUUGGGAUUACAGUCUCUCCCAUUUCUGCUUUUCUCUAUGAUGUUCUUUCUCUCUGGGGCUCGCCUUUCAUAAGGAGCUACACUCAGCAGAGGACUAACCUUAUCUGAUGGCUCUUUGGAACAAGUGCUGUAACACUUGCCCAUUUAUUAGUAUAAAAAUUUUCUUAAAACUCAGAAAAUGAAGAAUGAAUUAGUUCUCAGAAUGUCUGCACAUGGGUUGAAGUGAAAUUUAUGCAUUUACUGAACUCCUGUUUGAGAGAUGUGUCUGGGGUCAAGAAAAGGUUAAAGUUGUUUACUGCCUUCAAGCUCUGGUCUUAGAAGUUAAUUCAGAGCUGUGGUGUGAGCAGCUACAGAGAAUAAGUCCUUGGAGCAGUGAAUUGCUGGUAUGAUGUCAAGGUCCAUGGGCCUUAAUAAUAAAAUUAGUUUGUUUCUUAAGGAAAUCCUAGCAGAGACUUUAUAGUUAUAUAAAGUCAUUACACUGUUUUACAAAAUAACUUUAAAGAUGCUUUGGAAUGAUCAGAGUUUGUGGGAAGGGAUCAUGUUUUUUAUUAUUUGUGGAAUAUCCUCAAGCUGUCAUAGCUACAGCCCUGCCACUUGGAAUAGCUGCUCUACAGUUCAAAAGAAAAGACAAAGGAUCUUUUGAAGCCUAAGUCAGGCAAAUAGGGCAUAUCUGUCCAGAGAAAGCUUGUUGAAUGGAAUGGAUCCCACGUACUUCCUGAUAAUUGAUCCCAAUUUUGUAGGAGCUAGAUAUUUGGGGUAAUCAAGGUAUUUUACUACAAUUCUACAAGAGCAGAUAAGAGAGCCUAUGAAGUUCUACAAGCUCUGCUUUUCACAGUUCUCUGUUGGAGGAUUUAGGGGUGAGCAAUUUUAAAAGUCAUAGAAAAGGAAGAAGGCAUACUUUUCAAAACGUCAAGAUUCUGUGAAUGCAAAGACAGAGGAAACACUAAAUGAGACAAAAACUUUCCACCCUCUGCACAGCACUGCUGAUAAGAAUAACACUGCAUUUCUGCUCUGCUAACACUGAGGCAACACCCUCCUCCAAUGCAGAAGGGAGACAAGGAACCACUGAUUCAGGAGGAGGGGAACAGGCUAUGGACAGGUUCACUCUCCCCAGCCUGCUGUCCCCGUGGCACAGAGGGAAGUGGGGCUUCUGGAAGAGACUGGUGGUGCAAGCACUGUAGGGCCCCACUUUCCUCCUUUUCUGUGAACUCUGCCUAACUGUUUCUGUGAAAGAAAGCAUCAAGCCCCAUCUUGUUCAUGGAAAUACAACAUAUUUUAAAGCCAUAGUUAAUGGAUAAACUGUUUUCUGAUUGGAUGAGCCACACAAUAAAUCUCCUCCCGAGCCAAGUGCAAUGCAGCUUAUUCAGUUACAGUGAAAUAAGCCACUGUCACUUUGCUGCACUUGCAUACAUCAGGCAAAAUGCUUCCAUCUUCAUCAGCCUUGUAGUGAAAUAGAAAUAAAACAAUUGUAACAGAAUGGUGUCACUGGAUCUGUGGCACCUGCUUUAAAAAUAAAUCUCUUAGCUUUGUCUUCACUAUUACUUUCAAUAAAUGUCCUAGCAUUGCCACAGCAUUUAUCUAGCAGCAGGAAACCAUUAUACUAUGACAACAAUCUAUUCCAUUAACAUUAGCUCUUAAUUGUAAGACUGUUUAUAAGACAGCAAAAGCUACUGAAUCAUAGUAGAAUGAUAAAAAGAGUUAUGGUCAUGGAGUACAGGAGUCGCUCCAGUUUUGAAAAACAAGAAGAGUAGAGAGCUAUAUUUUUGUAUGAAAAAUUAUGUAAUAUUCUUACGCAAUACAAUGUUUUCAAAUAAUGGAUUACAUCCUCAAGUAACUAUUAAAGAGUUAAUGUUAAAAACUGUUACUAAGAAACUCUUUGAUAAAUGGUAGAGCUUAAAAAAACUGAAUAGAAAGCUUAGAAACUCUUCUUCUUGCUUUCAGCAAGGCUGCGUCGAUUCAAACAGAGAAAGCAUCAUAACAUUUGUCUGGCGGAGAGAGCAGAAGGAAUGUUGCAGAAUUGAGAUAUGAAGAACCUCACUGCAGAAUAGAAGGAGAACUGUCAUUCUGAUUGUUUGUCAUUAUUGUUUCAUGUCCAGUUAAGUGAACUUAAAGUGACAGUUGUGUCAUAACUCCUGGCAUCUAUGUAAAUUUCAAAUCAAAUAUGAUAGAGGCAUUUCCGCCAGAUGCAAGUCACCAGGCUGCUCUUCCUCUUUAUUUUUGUAGCCCUCCAUUUUCUUAAACUGUGCUGGUAGCUCUUAAAUUAAAAAGACAACUUAAGGGGAUCUCUGUUAUGUGCAUGUCUCAGUUCUCAGUCCAUACCUUGCUUUCUCUCAGCUUUUUGAAACAAUGGCCAAUGUCAAAUUUCCAUCAGAAAGAGUCACUACAAACAUCAAGACGUAUUAGCUAAAACUGUGCCUUCCCAUUGAUGAUGUAUCAUAGAGCAAAACCCCAUGAAAUUCUAGGUUGUGAACAUCCCCUCAAGGCUUACAGAGAAAACAGCUCGAGCAAAUGUUCCUCCAUUGGUUUACUAUAGCCCAAACCAGGUCUUCUCUGUGCAUAGGUAUAAAACAGGUGGAAAACAUUGCUCGUGGACUUUUCUGUGAAUUACAUCAUUCAGAGGUUAUGGGAGCUUCACAGGGAUAUCAGAUGUACUCCUCCAUAGCGAUGAGUUACAGGUAAAUAACUCAUUUCCUGGAUACACUCAUACAGAUAGUCUAACGACACAGGAUUGCUACUGGACACAUAUCUUAUUGAAAAUAAUUUCAAUGCAAUUAUAAAUGUAUUUUGUGUGGACAACAUCAUCAAAAAUAUUAAACAUGCUGUUUAUUCACUCAGGCAUAAUACUAAUUUCUUCUGCAUAUUUAAGGUUAUUUGGCUAAUUAAUUAAAUAAUACAGGCUUGAGCUAAGUUUUCAUUUUUCAUUGUAACAUAUUGCAUAAAUGAUGGUGCUAUAAAUAUGUACCUCUGCAUUAGGUAAGCACAUUUCGGUCAGUUGAUUGAGGCAGAUUUUUAUUUUUUCAAUUCCUUUCCAGUUGAUCUUUUUUGUAUGGUAAAUUUAAACUAGCUCCAUAGCUACUUUUAUCUACAAUUUGGGCCUUCAAACAACCAAAUUGUGCUGUCCCACUCUCUAAUCUGACCAUUUGUUAAAGUGAUUAGUGAAUAGAGGCAACAUAUUAAUGACAGUUCUAUAAAAGUAUCUGUGAAUAAACAUUUUUUACCUUAAAGGGUAAGUUCUAUAUGAGUUUAUAUUUGUAAGUCAAAGGGUUUUUUCCUUGUUAAAGAUGAAUACAUAUGAAUCAUAAAAAUAUUCAUAUUUGUGACAAAAUAUCACUAUACAGAUAUGUCAUCACAAAAAUCAAUUGUCAGUACAUGUUUAAGAGUAUCAAAUUAAUUUUAACUUGUUUGCUUUUAAAAUGUCUUAUUUUAUUAGAUUGUGGAAUGUAAAACCCUCUUUCAAAAUUGAUAUAGUAUUUCCAAUUUUAAGAUUUUUUUAUGUAGUGAACUUAUUAUCACAUAUGCAUAUUCCUAGAGGCCUCUAGAGAUUCUCAAUUUGAAACAAAAAUGACAUAGAAUUACAAACUGUGAUAUCUUUGAUUUAGUUGCAGAACUCACUUGCAGGACUUUCUGCUACCUACUGAUGUCUUGUGGUCAUAUAUUUAUUCUCCUAACAGGAAUGUGAACAGGACAAAUUAGUGAAUGUAAUUUUAGCCAUAUGAGGUCAUUACAAAUAUAGGCUUAGCUUUUCCAAAAGUGGACUUUAUUGUUAAUAUAAAUAUAUAUAAUUACUGACAUUUAUAUUAUUUGGCUCCUGUCCUCAGUUAUGGAUACAGUGAUGAUAAAAGGGUCUUGCAAGCCCUUACCUAAGCAAACUGCGCUUACCUCCCAUGGUUCUGUGUUAUUGUACAUAAAGUUACUCAUGUAUUUAUAAGUAAGUCAAAUCUAUACACAGAUUUCUAAAAGUGACUUAUCUUACUCUUUUGGGCAAACAGUACUGUCUACUGCUUAGAAAAGAAUGCUCUAAGCCAUCCAGGAUUCCUCCCAGCUUCUGAGAGGAUGUGAUUCUGCUGUAUCAUUAGAUAUCGAACUUAAAUACUUAAUCCAGUCACAUUUUUAAAUUGUUUGAGGCCUAAACCAGAAGAUUCCAUGUUGAGUAAAAGUAUGCAUUACUUUAAAGUAAGAAAUGGCUGUUGAUUUUUCAUCACUGCUUCUGGAGAGACUAGGGUCAGAGAGUUUGUUUUAAAAGUUUGUUUGUUCAAAAGGGGUAGCUUGCAAGACACGUGGAUUAGCAAAGCACCACAUGGAAGAUUUCAAAGCAGCAGCCUCAACAUUUCUCUCUAAUGAGAAAAGGAAAAGAGUCCCAUAGGUAUGAAGUAUGCAGGGAGAGAACCUAGAGGUCCCAAAGGAAUGCAGUAUUUAGGGAGAGAACCAAAACUCCUUUCGUGAACAGAGAGAUAACCCUGAUGAAUUCUGGACUACCUGCUAUCUUAGGGGCACGUCUAGGUUUAAGAAUGAUUUGGAUCACAGGCUGUAACAUUUUCCAGACAUUCAGAUUGCAACUACUAAGCCAGCAAUUUUAUGCUUUCCUUUCCCUGACUCCAACAGUACCGCGAUAUAAGCAGCCAGAUUUUCUUCUGCAUUGUGUUUUUUUAUCCAUUCAGCCAAAAUUAAGUCUUCUAGGGUAACGUAUGCCAAGUGAAUUUAAAUCUUGUGGACUCAAAUCGACCUAAAGUUGAUGGAUACAUUCAUGCCUACUGCUGAAAUCUACCAAUUACACAGAACUAUGUUAACUUACCAUA
Molecule: RNA transcript, 12285 nt
Organism: Lepidothrix coronata (blue-crowned manakin)
Lineage: Eukaryota; Metazoa; Chordata; Aves; Passeriformes; Pipridae
Exons: 12
Source: RefSeq, a predicted model, not a curated record